This 428-nucleotide ribosomal RNA is filed under the name uncultured bacterium. Its description in RNAcentral is "bacterial SSU rRNA". It matches the Rfam family "Bacterial small subunit ribosomal RNA", at positions 917 to 1350 of the family's 1533-position model. The record is from RNAcentral.
GGGCCCGCACAAGCGGUGGAGUAUGUGGUUUAAUUCGAUGCAACGCGAAGAACCUUACCUAGGCUUAAAUGUAGAUUGACGUAUUGGGAAACCAGUAUUUCUUCGGACAAUCUACAAGGUGCUGCAUGGUUGUCGUCAGCUCGUGCCGUGAGGUGUCGGGUUAAGUCCCAUAACGAGCGCAACCCCUAUCAUUAGUUGCUAACAUUUAGUUGAGGACUCUAAUGAAACUGCCCGCGUAAGCGGUGAGGAAGGUGGGGAUGACGUCAAAUCAUCACGGCCCUUACGUCUAGGGCUACACACGUGCUACAAUGGUAACUACAGAGGGAAGCUAUCUGGUGACAGUGAGCAAAUCCUUAAAAGUUAUCCCAGUUCGGAUUGAAGUCUGCAACUCGACUUCAUGAAGUUGGAAUCGCUAGUAAUCGGAUAUC